GGUGCCGGCCAGCGCGGCGCAGAGCCGCAUCCCCUUCGCCCGCGUCAGCCACACCAAGUACAUGGUGACCGACAAGGCCGCCUACGUGGGCACAUCCAACUGGUCCGGGGAUUACUUCGAGCGCACGGCGGGCUCGGCGCUGGUGGUGGCGCAGCCCGGGCCGGGCCCCGGCUCCUUCCGGGAGCGGCUCGGGGCCGUCUUCGAGCGGGACUGGAGCUCCGGGCACAGCGUGGACAUCGGCGACACCGCCAGCUGGGCCGGGCGCUGCGGGCCCCGCUAGCGCCGGGGGGCCCCGCGGGGGCCGCGGGUUUGGGGGGGGAAAUAAAAGAAACGGGUUUUGUG
This is a long non-coding RNA of Passer montanus (Eurasian tree sparrow), 342 nucleotides long. RefSeq lists it as uncharacterized. The transcript is spliced from 2 exons. The record is from RefSeq and is a predicted model, not a curated record. NCBI's taxonomy places the organism in Eukaryota, Metazoa, Chordata, Aves, Passeriformes, Passeridae.